UACGUAGGGGGCAAGCGUUGUCCGGAUUUAUUGGGCGUAAAGAGCGUGUAGGCGGCCAUGCAGGUCCGUUGUGAAAACUCGAGGCUCAACCUCGAGACGCCGAUGGAAACCGCAUGGCUAGAGUCCGGAAGAGGAGAGUGGAAUUCCUGGUGUAGCGGUGAAAUGCGUAGAGAUCAGGAGGAACACCCGUGGCGAAGGCGGCGCCCUGGUCCGUUACUGACGCUGAGACGCGAAAGCGCGGGGAGCGAACGGG
This 253-nucleotide ribosomal RNA is filed under the name uncultured bacterium. RNAcentral's name for it is "partial 16S ribosomal RNA". It matches the Rfam family "Bacterial small subunit ribosomal RNA", at positions 524 to 776 of the family's 1533-position model. The record is from RNAcentral.